This 264-nucleotide ribosomal RNA is filed under the name uncultured archaeon. RNAcentral's name for it is "partial 16S ribosomal RNA". It matches the Rfam family "Archaeal small subunit ribosomal RNA", at positions 719 to 982 of the family's 1478-position model. The record is from RNAcentral.
ACAGUCACACAUUAGAUACCCCGGUAGUCCUAGCCGUAAACGAUACUCGCUAGGUGUCGGCCACGGUGCGACCGUUGUCGGUGCCGUAGGGAAGCCGUGAAGCGAGCCACCUGGGAAGUACGGCCGCAAGGCUGAAACUUAAAGGAAUUGGCGGGGAGCACCACAACGGGUGGAGCCUGCGGUUUAAUUGGACUCAACGCCGGGAAGCUCACCGGAUAAGACAGCGGAAUGAUUGCCGGGCUGAAGACUCUGCAUGACUAGCUG